ACAGUCUAACUCAGUCUGGAGGACCCUCUUUAAAUGAGUCAUCAGAGCAUAAAGUCACAGUCAUAAAAACUAAAUCAGACUCCUAGAGUCUCUCCUCCUUCUGUUCUUAGUGUCAGAAAACUAUUUGUUAUAUAAAAAGUUGUUGGUUAUAUCUUUAUAUUUUAAAUGAUCUUCAUGUUACUACAGGUUUGAGUUUAAAUUAAGUUGACAUGUUACAUCAUGUUUUGUCUUCUUCUAGUUGUGUAAUUACUUGUAUCAAUAUAUUAUGUCAUAUGUUACUUGUAAUGUUCUCUCUAUUGUUACUUGUCUAGGCACUACUGAUGUAAAUUAGCAUUAAUGCUAACUCCAGCAUGUUUACAUCUUGAUGUUCAUUAAGGAGCUCUGUCCAUGUUCAGUUACUAUGAAUUUAAAUGACGUUAUUACAGCAGAAAUGACUAAUGUCAGUGUAAAUAAUGCUUUUUUUGAGUGAAGGGUUUUGCAGCUUUUAAAUAAUCAAGGAAUGAAACUUGCAUCUGAGAUAUGAUUUGGUGUUUUACUACAACAGAAAAAGGAAAUGAAGUGAAUCAAAUUUGGUAAAUUACAGCAAAUAAAGAAAGCACACAGAACAAUAUGGA
Molecule: long non-coding RNA, 614 nt
Organism: Sander lucioperca (pikeperch)
Lineage: Eukaryota; Metazoa; Chordata; Actinopteri; Perciformes; Percidae
Exons: 2
Source: RefSeq, a predicted model, not a curated record